GACGAACUCUGGCGGCGUGCCUAAUACAUGCAAGUCGAGCGGACCGGAUUGGGGCUUGCCUUGAUUCGGUCAGCGGCGGACGGGUGAGUAACACGUGGGCAACCUGCCCGCAAGACCGGGAUAACUCCGGGAAACCGGAGCUAAUACCGGAUAACACCGAGGACCGCAUGGUCUUCGGUUGAAAGGCGGCCUUUGGGCUGUCACUUGCGGAUGGGCCCGCGGCGCAUUAGCUAGUUGGUGAGGUAACGGCUCACCAAGGCGACGAUGCGUAGCCGGCCUGAGAGGGUGACCGGCCACACUGGGACUGAGACACGGCCCAGACUCCUACGGGAGGCAGCAGUAGGGAAUCUUCCGCAAUGGGCGAAAGCCUGACGGAGCGACGCCGCGUGAGCGAAGAAGGCCUUCGGGUCGUAAAGCUCUGUUGUGAGGGACGAAGGAGCGCCGCUCGAAGAGGGCGGCGCGGUGACGGUACCUCACGAGAAAGCCCCGGCUAACUACGUGCCAGCAGCCGCCGUAA
RNAcentral lists this ribosomal RNA (517 nucleotides) under uncultured bacterium. RNAcentral describes it as "partial 16S ribosomal RNA". It matches the Rfam family "Bacterial small subunit ribosomal RNA", at positions 28 to 523 of the family's 1533-position model. The record is from RNAcentral.